Molecule: ribosomal RNA, 422 nt
Filed under: uncultured Glomeraceae
Lineage: Eukaryota; Fungi; Glomeromycota; Glomeromycetes; Glomerales; Glomeraceae
Description: SSU rRNA
Rfam family: Eukaryotic small subunit ribosomal RNA
Source: RNAcentral
GGGAGGUAGUGACAAUAAAUAACAAUACGGGGUUCUUUCGGAUCUCGUAAUUGGAAUGAGUACAAUUUAAAUCUCUUAACGAGGAACAAUUGGAGGGCAAGUCUGGUGCCAGCAGCCGCGGUAAUUCCAGCUCCAAUAGCGUAUAUUAAAGUUGUUGCAGUUAAAAAGCUCGUAGUUGAAUUUCGGGGUUAGUAAGUUGGUCAUGCCUCCGGUAUGCACUGGCUUUACUGAUUCCUCCUUCUUGAUGAACUGUAAUGUCAUUAAUUUGGUGUUGCAGGGAAUCAGGACUGUUACUUUGAAAAAUUAGAGUGUUUAAAGCAGGCAUACGCUUGAAUACAUUAGCAUGGAAUAAUGAAAUAGGACGUUUGAUCCUAUUUUGUUGGUUUCUAGGAUUGACGUAAUGAUUAAUAGGGAUAGUUGGG